Rhinopithecus roxellana (golden snub-nosed monkey) is the source of this 2282-nucleotide long non-coding RNA. RefSeq lists it as uncharacterized. The record is from RefSeq and is a predicted model, not a curated record. Lineage: Eukaryota; Metazoa; Chordata; Mammalia; Primates; Cercopithecidae. The transcript has 2 exons.
GCGGGCGAUCAAUGCGCUGCACUGACACCAGCCCGCCUGGCGGGGCCACACCCAACCCCCCAAGAGUUGGGGCCUCUCGGUCCUGGCCAGGGAGGGUAGGCUGACAGAUGGCCAGCUUUUGCAGACAGGGUUUUGGGGGCAGAGGCAGUAGGGAUCAGCCAGGGCCUCCCUUUGAUAGUCCCCCCACCGAGGAGCCUCUGCCUCCUCCGCUCCAGUGCGCCCCGCUCUCUGCCUCGUGGCCCCCGCUGAUCUCGCUGUAAAACAGCCUUUCAAGUCUGCCUGUCUUUUGACUGCACUAAGCUGUUUAAGAGGCGGCAGCAGCUUCUAUCAGGAAAGCUGGAGCAAUUCUCUGCAGAUAAAGGCACCUCCAGCCCCUGUUCCCUCUUCAAGUCUCACUCUCAUUCUCGCUCUCCAAAUCGCUCAAAGAAAAGCCCCCUUUGAACUCCCCUCAGGAAUUCUUGAAAGGAACAACCUCACAGUGUAAACACUCAGGGAAAACGGAUACCCGCCCAGGGCCUAAGAGCCCCUCACACUGCUCUGCAAGUGCAUCCCGGCACAAGGGAAACACUCUUGUCAAAUCAGCAGGCCCUUCGCAGCUUCAUCCUCCGUAAGCCCUGUCUGGUACCCAGAAGCCAUCAGGUCCAGGUCUGUGCCAAGGAACCUAAGAAGUUGCCACAGCAAUAGAGGAUGUGAGCAGUUGCAGCUGCCAACAGCGCUAACCAGAGCGGCACGCUAGAACUGACCCUGUGUGGCUGCCACCGAACACCCAUGUGUCCAACUCACAGGACAGACAAUCGUCAGCUCUGCUGCUCACUCUUCUAGGGCCUCAGACACUCUAAGGCUCCAGUACAGGAUGAGUGAAAUGGCAAACUCACACUCUCCAGCUCCGGUUCAGGGAGACGGUUUGAUCUGACUAACCUUCCUGAUUUAUGUUUUGGCUUGCCCCCAAACACCUGCGUAAUGUGAGAGACGCCCAGAGGCAUAAUGUCCCAUCUGGGCUCUUAGCCCCUUCGUGGAACCAGUCUGCACUGGACGGCCCUGCAGAGACCACUCCUCAGCAUCCGCCCAGGUGCUAACGCGGCUUGGCUGUCACCUUCAAUGCAUCACCCGAGGCUGAGAGCCCCCCUCGUCAUUCCUAGCUUGCAGCCUCACAAUUCCAUUUCCCCACCCAAAUACAUCCAUUUUAAUAUGCACAUCACAGGCAGGCAGCACGGUCACAAAGGAGCCCCACCAGCAGCAGUCCCCACGUGGUGGAACGGAUGGAUGACCAGCCACCAGCCUCGGCCUCUUGGCUCCCAACAGAUGGAUACCCAGCAGAGGCCUGGCACCAGAGUGCCACUGUCUAUGUGUCAGCUGCUUGUACCUCGGAAGCCACCUUCCAGAAGAGUGGUGGCCCGUAUCCGCUUCUGCCCACACCAUUCAUACUCCUCAAAGCGGCUGUUGUUCUCAUGCUCGAUGUCCACAGCAUCAUCCUCAGCCAUGCAGGAGCCUUCCCUCUGUGAAGAGCAGAGCAGGAUCAUGCUGGGCCCAGGCCAUCCCCACCUGCUCCCCACAGUCUGCGACGAAGGCACAGCUCUAGCCCCAGCUGUGGUGCGCCAAGUGGGCCCUCAGCUCUAGGGCUCCUCUGAAGCAAACCAAUUUAGAGGUCAAAGACCUGGGCCUCUUCCCAAUAGUUUUCCACUGGAGCCCAAGGAGGGAAUGAGUGAGAGUGAAAGCAAAGGGAGAGAGCAGUGGACAGAAGUGAAGAAGCUGCUGAGACCACAUGGAGACCCCAAGAGCCCACAGAUUCAGGGGUAGUCUGCAGCUAGUGUCGGGGGAAGGGAGCGGGGAGGGAAGGUGGGUGGUGAUGGCCCCUCUACCUUAGAAAGGCAAUGCUCCACAUGCCUACUCAUCUCCUGCUCCGAUCCUGCCAGGGGGCGGUUGCACAGGGGACAUACCUGCCCUUCAUCUUGCUUCCUCCGUUUCAUUUUCCCAAUCCGAGCUGCACGGGGGAACCGAAAACAAAGCACAGAACAAGCAGACGGUCACUGCAGCCCCCAAGGUCCCAGUGGAGCUGACACAUCCUGACCUCUUGCCAACCACUAGCGUUUUUAUUCAGUGCCUGAUCUGGCCCUCAUCUUGAAGUACCUCCUGCUCCUUUGGGGACUGGACUUUGCCAAGAGCACCUGGGGAGGACACUGGUGCUAACUAAGCCAGUAAGUCUACUCUUUGGCCACAGCUGGUGCAAGGUCUACCCAUACCUUUAUUUCCAGUGUUUAGUAAGAGUCCAAUGGGCAAAGACA